GGCCCUAUGGGGUGCAGCAGGCGCGAAAACUCUACAAUACACGAAAGUGUGAUAGGGGAAUCCUAAGUGCUUAUGCUAUGCAUAGGCUUUUUUCAAGGGUAAAUACCUUGAAGAAUAAGUGGUGGGUAAGACUGGUGCCAGCCGCCGCGGUAACACCAGCGCCACGAGUGGGGAUCAUGAUUAUUGGGCCUAAAGCGUUCGUAGCCUGUCCGAGCAAUCUCUUGUGAAAUCGACCAGCUCAACUGGUCGGCGUGCAGGGGACACUGCCGGGCUUGGGACUGGUAGGAGUCAGAGGUAUGGCCAGGGGAGCAGUAAAAUGCGAUAAUCCUGGUUAGACCACCGAUGGCGAAGGCAUCUGACUAGAACAGAUCCGACGGUGAGGGAUGAAAGCUAGGGGCGCGAUCCGGAUUAGAUACCCGAGUAGUCCUAGCUGUAAACGCUGCGAGCCAGGUGUUGCGUAUUCUUCGAGAAUGCGCAGUAUCGGAACGAAGGUGUUAAGCUCGCCGCCUGGGGAGUACGGUCGCAAGGCUGAAACUUAAAGGAAUUGGCGGGGGAGCAC
Molecule: ribosomal RNA, 559 nt
Filed under: uncultured archaeon
Lineage: Archaea
Description: bacterial SSU rRNA
Rfam family: Archaeal small subunit ribosomal RNA
Source: RNAcentral